This 250-nucleotide ribosomal RNA is filed under the name uncultured bacterium. RNAcentral's name for it is "partial 16S ribosomal RNA". It matches the Rfam family "Bacterial small subunit ribosomal RNA", at positions 524 to 773 of the family's 1533-position model. The record is from RNAcentral.
UACAGGGGGUGCAAACGUUGCUCGGAAUCAUUGGGCGUAAAGCGCGCGUAGGCGGUCAUUUAAGUCGGAUGUGAAAGCCCUUGGCUUAACUGAGGAAGUGCACCCGAAACUGAAUGGCUUGAGUACCAAAGAGGGUCGCGGAAUUCCCGGUGUAGAGGUGAAAUUCGUAGAUAUCGGGAGGAACACCGGUGGCGAAGGCGGCGACCUGGGUGGAAACUGACGCUGAGGCGCGAAAGCGUGGGGAGCAAAC